AAACACCCAUUUUCGAAUACCUCGCAUCAGAGAAAAUAGGUAGAGAAGCGAAGAGUGUGAAGCCAAAAAAACCUUAUCGAACCGUCAAACUGGUAUCCUAUCGAACAAAAUCAACAAACCUUGACUCUUGCCGCAUAAUUCAUGAUAAGUAUUGCGAUCAUUCGAAACAUUUUUUUACCAAUAUUUUUAAAUAUCAAGGAUAUUACUGUAAAUAACAUUGAUUCCUUAAAUUGACGAAAAUUGAUCCUUUUUGGUAUACAUUUUAGAUGAUUUCUUGUUAAUAAAUCAACAGCAUAAAUCAUUUUCUAAUGCAGUACACGAGAAAGACACUACCCUCGAUAGGUGGAUUAAUCUGUUUUUCGGUAGUUGCCAACAUCCGAGUUACGAAAUCAAAACAGAAAAAGUGUUGCCGUUCAGACGGCUGUUCACUCUUCGCUUCUCUACCUAUUUUCUCUGCCUCGCAUGUCUGUCAAAACAUGGGAAAAAUUGAUUAUACAAAAAGAGUAAAAAAAUACCCAUGUUUCUGAACCGACCUUCUUCCCAUUAAUGGGUGAAAAAAGUUAUAGAGGUAAUCACGUUCAAAAGUAUGCGUGCCUUUUUUGUAGAUGUCGUUGUGAAACUGCGAGGAAAAUAUUUGCACUCUUGCCCCGGACGUUAGUUUUAUCAUUAUUUACCCGUUUUACCCAAAUCGAUUGGGUAAUAUUUGCAUAUGCGAUCUGAGUAGCCUUUCAAUCGGCGUGCACUUUUGUGUGAGGAAAAAUUUGCGCUAGUGUUCGUGUGUUGAAAUGUCACUUAUCUCUAUACAGGUAAUCACGUUCAAAUGUAUGCGUGCCUUUUUAGUAGAUGUAGUUGUGAAACUGCGAGGAAAAUAUUUGCACUCUUGCCCCGGACGUUAGUUUUAUCAUUAUUUACCCGUUUUACCCAAUUCGAUUGGGUAAUAUUUGCAUAUGCAAUCUGAAUAGCCUUUCAAUCGGCGUGCACUUUUGCUCGUUUUUGUGUGAGGAAAAAUUUGCGCUAGUGUUCGUGUGUUGAAAUGUCACUUAUCUCUAUAAAAGUUUCACCGCGACCUUGUUUGCAGACUUCAGUUCUUGUUUCAGUUUGUCUAUUUAGAAGUAAGUUAUUACUAUUUAUUUGUGUUCCCCCUGUUGACGAAUCAUGUUCCGGAGAAAAAUGCAGUGAAAUUCAUAUUAAUAGUUAUGGCUUGAGUUGCUCCGCCCCACGGGUAGGCUGACCAGAUUUGUUCCGUUUAAAUACGCGACACAUUCCAGAAAUUCAACAAAAAGGAAGUCAAUGUCCAAAAACAGAACUAGGUGUUGACAAUAAUGCAGAUUCAACUGGAAAGAAUGAAUAAUUCAGUCAGAAACAUGGACAAUAUUCCAGUGGCGAGUAUUUGAAAUUUGAGUUGUCCCGUUAAAUACGAGACGGAUGGUCAGCCUACCCACGGGUCAAGCCACGGGUAUCAUUUACUGCAAGAUUAUUUUCGCCAGUAGUAACGUGAAUGCGAACGUGAAUGCAAUUAAAAAUGAAAUGUAUUUAUACAAAUAUUGUUUUGCCAAUAAAAAUGAACGGAUACACAUAUUUUCUUUUUAGUUUACUUCAAUAGAAUAAUAGGGUCCUAAAAUUAAAGACGAAAUCUCGCUUAUAUUGAAUAAUACGAUCAAGCAUGGUAUUGUACGUGGAUUUGCUAACUGAACACGACGAAGAACCGUCGUUUUUGGAAUCACCGUUCGAAUCGCCGUUGGAAUCGUCGUUCGAUUGCAGAGCGAGACAGCAACAAAACUGACACAUCGCUUUGACAUAUUUAACGUAGGAGCAACACGUGCGUGAUAUUCUCUCUCUCUGUUGGUGUGGUUUGUUUUGAUUCAAUCUGACAUUUCUUUUAUGCUGCUCAUGCUGCCGAUGCUGCCAGCUGAUGGUGGUAAGGAUGGAGGAACAUAGUCGGAGGGGUGCUCCAAUGUGUUUUCAGAAGAAUUCGUCGAGAUAAAAUGUUUUCAUUAUGAAAAAUAUGGAAAAUUCUAGUUUAAAAGUUCAGCAUUAAACUUUUCAAUGCGUGUUACGUAUAUUAUUUUAUAGAGAAUCUGUCUAGAGGUCGUUUCACGUAAUAAGAGCAUUAACAUAAAAGUCCAUAAUUUUACAAGAACGCAUUGAAACGCCCCUUGAAAUUUAACGGCGAUUCCCAACCAGCUCAAGCAAAUUCCCUUGGAAUUCACCUUCGAAGUAAAAUCACAAUAUUCUAAUCGAAAUUGUACUUUACUCGAACUUGAAAAACAAAGGAAUAAUGAGAAAAUUCGAAAUAAGUAAAAUGGUAAAUAGUUCUACACGCUAACCUGAAACUACCCAUCGCCUGGGUCGUUUCUACCCGGAUUUUCAUGUUGUUAGCAGUUGUCAAAAUCCGGGUAACCCGAAAACCCAGAUAGGUUAAAUCUGGGUAAAGAUCUGGGUAAUCGGCACUUUGUCACUUUCCGGCUUGAGAAUAUGGCAGCGGUCAGGCGAACGCUGGCAAUUGGGUUUUUAAAUUAAGAAAAAUUCAAUGAUUUUUAAUUUUUUAACGAAAGAGCACUUUUUUCUGAGCCGCUAUGAUUUUUUUCAGAUUUUUAGAACUUUAUUUUGGUAUUUAAAAUCAAUUUCAAAGAGAUUUUCUGAAAUCACCUUUUGACAGCUGGGCAACUGCUUGACAGCUCCGCUUAGUACAAAAUGCGACGAGGGGUGAUUCGACAAAUCGCUCCCAUACAAAUUUCUAAUUGAUUUUUAAAUAGGUUCCCGGGCACCAAAAUUGAUGAAAAUUUGGAUUUCGGCUCAGUUUGGCAUGCAGAUUCAGAAUAUGGAAUUAUCUCAACACCACUAAAGAAGCCAAUUAUGGGUGUUUCCUCGAAAAAUAUGAGGAUAAAUGACGGGAAAACAGUUAAAUCGCAGACAGACGUUCUAGCUCGAACAAAUUUAUUCAAAUUUUCUAUGUAAAUUUUCACUAGCGACACCUAGGCAACCGAUUGCCACAGUGCAGUCGCGAGCAGUUGACAGUUUGAGAAACCACGUGCUUCCAGCCGCUUACGUACCACCCAAUCCACCACCCACCAAAAAAUAAAAUCAAAACAAACACUGUAGAAAUCAUUCCUACAUUUGCGUCACAUUCACAAAGAUUUCCCAAUGCGAGUGAAGUUCAUCCAAAUGCAGUUUUAUUCAAGCAAAUCUAUGUAACAUAAAAGUAAUAAUGUGCAAAAUAUUUUACAAGAGUCCUGCGCUAAUUUGUGCAAAAGAUUUAAGAUAUUAAAUAAAAGUCAUUUACUCUGCACAAAUUAUGUGAAAACAUUAUUAGCGUGCAACACGUGCGGUCUUUUCCCGCCAUCCGGCUGGAAGACGACCGUGGUGACAGUUGUUGGUCGCAACGCACAUAUGAGGCAGCGAUUGAAUAUGAACGCCGCUAACGCCAUCUGUUCGCUGAUUGCCACUUGGCAAUUUGUGGCGGCCAUGUUUUUUACACAAGCUGCUGAGUCAAACUUGAACGUCUGUCUGCGGUUAAAUUCUUCCAGGGAACUGUUUUCCUGCAUCAGGUAAGUGAACAGCACACGGGAAUUGGGAGCUUUUUAUUAAAAAUCUAAAUUGGAAAUAAAUUAACAAAAUCAAGGUCCAGGAGGAGCUGGGUACCGGUUACCCAGAUUUUGCCACCAACAUCGGUAACCCAGAUUAGAGUAAAGGUGCCUUUACUCAGAUUAGAGUAACUGCAGUUUUGCUCAAUCUGGGUCGCUUUGACACCAAUCUGGGUAACUGAGGGUUAGCGUGUACUUUGACAUUUGAGGUCUACCUUGUGUGACUGAGCUCGACAUUUUUCGCACUGGGAUUUCAAAAAUGUUCCUAUUGAUUGAUGCACCAAGCGGUAAGAAGAAGAAUUUUGACAUCCAAGCGGUGUGCCGUUUACAUCCAUCGACCAAUCAGCGACGAGGAUCUAAUCGACGGCACACCGCUUGGAUGUCAAAACUUCUUCUUCUUUUCGCUUGGUGCAUCCUAGGAUAGGAUACGACAACUAGUCAGCCCAAAAGAGACCAAUUUGGGGACCAAUAAUCUUAGCAACGCGGAAAAACAAGACAGCAAGCUGUGAAAUUAGACAGAGAAGUUGCUGGUGUCACAUCCUAUCCUAGGGUGCAUCAAUCAAUAUCUGACAUACACGGUGAAAAAAAAAUUACUCAAAGUAUGUGUUAUAAGCUAGGGACGAGACAAAAGGCUAAAAAAAUAAAAUUAUAUAUUUUCAACUACGGUUAAUAAAAACGUCAAAAAUUGAGUAAAUAUCUGAGGGAUGCGGACUCAACUUUUUGGUCAUUCAAUUUGAGCACGUACUCUUUCUUUCAGUGCUCCCCGUUGUAAAGUUUCUUAUCUCUAUGGAGAUCAAUUUCGAAGUGCACGCUUCACAUAACGUUUAAACCAAGGCUCAAACAUAUCGAUUACAGCAAAAGCUACAAUAAAACGUAUAUUCAGCUAACUUUGUCAUUAUGGGCUUGGAAGAAUAAUUUACAAAUUUUAGGCAAGUUUCACACAUAAUUUUCUCACAGAUAAAACGUUUUGAAAGUUUUCGUAUCUGACGGCAAAGUUUGUGUGUCAUUAAAUGUUUCACUUGUUUUAGCGUGACUAAGCAAACCAAACUUGUAUCCAGGCAUACUCUGAUCAUUUUAGAGGUUUGGCAGCAGCCUGGCUGCUGUCAAAUUUCAGUCCGCAAUCCUCAGGUAAAUAUGUAAUCUUGAACCAUAUAUUGUGGUCGAGAUUGUGGUUUAAAACAAGAAACUCGAUAGGACUUUUAGGGUUCAUUCAAAUAUUACGUAACGCAAAAUUUAUCAAUUUUUGACCCCCUCCCUCCCCCACGUAAAAAGUUUUGUAUGGGAAAUUUUGGAAUUUUGUAUGAAGCGUAACACAGCGGUAGACCCCCUCCCUCCCCCCUUAGCGUUACGUAAUAUUUGAACGAACCCUUAGGAGCCUAUUGCGAAAUGUUUAUUAUUAUCCAGGCCCCUGACACGGCCUAUAUCAAUGCAGUGGAAUCAUGGUAGACAGGAUGUCCUGGGCGCUAGUAAAUAGCGCCCACUGUCAAAUGCGAAAACAUCAACAAUUUUUUGUUUAACGUUUGUUGUGGUUUGUUGAUCAGUUUUUGGAAUCAUUUUUUCCACCUCUUAUGAUCACAAAACACUUCAAACUCGCUUUAAUAUUAAUGUACGGUAAGAGGAGCAUGCGAUUAGUUGAAUAAAGCAACCCAACAAACACGCAUUGUGAAUGUGAUUUCGUGUGUGGAUCACAACAUCAAACAAAAGCUGUGUUUGUUGAUUACACCAACAAUCAAUAUGCAGCUGCCAAUUCGCCCGUGACCCCAGUUACAUAAUUUUUCAAUGACCCCAAUCCCCCAGUACAUAAACACAAUAAGGCGGCGCUUUUGACGCUUUUCGUUGUCAAUCAUAGUUACCUUCGCCCAUUUCAAAUUUCGUUCACAAGAAAUAGGUACAAAGAAUUGACAUCUCUCAGAUUUGAUCAGCUCGGCUUUACCGGAUCAACGGGCUACCGUAUCUACCUGGUGGAGCAUCUUCUGUAAUCAUAUGUGCCCUAUUACAUUCCGCGCAUCGAUGCCAUUCUCUAAAGCAACUGAAAAAGCCCAUAUCUAUCCGGAAUGCAUUGCAUACUGUUGCAAAGUGCCAGCUGCAAGAGGAAUUGGACCUUGAAUUUGAACAGAAGUAAUUAGAACUAGACUAUUCA
This is a long non-coding RNA of Aedes albopictus (Asian tiger mosquito), 5724 nucleotides long. RefSeq lists it as uncharacterized. NCBI's taxonomy places the organism in Eukaryota, Metazoa, Arthropoda, Insecta, Diptera, Culicidae. The transcript is spliced from 3 exons. The record is from RefSeq and is a predicted model, not a curated record.